AGCCUAACGGCUGAACCAGCAACUUGGAGGAAUGUAUAGCAAUAGCUAAUUGCACCAGCAAAUAGUUGAUGUAAUAUCGACUAUGUCGAAUAAAAUUCUAGGUAGAAUUAUGAUAAUGACAUUGUCUGCCUAUGUGUCUUGACCAAAUUACGUGCCAGCAGUCGCGGUAAUACGUAGAAGACUAGUGUUAUUCAUCUUUAAUAGGUUUAAAGGGUACCUAGACGGUAAAUCAAGCCUGAAAGGGGACUAAUUUUCUAGAGUUACUUGUGAGGGGGUAUUAAAGUACUGAUGGUGUAGAGAUGAAAUUCUGUCAUACCUUUUCUAUUGCUAGAACUAAUGGCACAGGUAUAGGCGAAAGCAUCCCCUUAUGUGAUAACUGACGUUGAAGGACGAAGGCUUUGUGUCGCGAACAGGAUUAGAUACCCCAGUAGUCAAAGCAGAAAAUGAUGAAUGUCAUAGAUUAGACAUAUAGUUUAUUCUAUAAAUGAAAGUGUAAGCAUUCCACCUCAAGAGUAAUUUGGCAACAUUGGAACUGAAAUCAUUAGACCGUUUCUGAAACCAGUAGUGAAGUAUGUUGUUUAAUUUGAUGUUCCGCAAAAAACCUUACCACAAUUUGAAUAUUUAUAUCUAUAUCUUUUAUUUGAUCUUAUUUCUUUUCUGUUGCUAACCAAGUUAUGCAUCCAUUUUUUUUUCUUCUUUGCAUUGCAUUGCAUUGCAUUGCAAAAAAAAGAUCAAUAUAUCAGAAAGGAAAAAUAAGUAAUAAGAAGAAAAAAGACAUAUUUACAAGCGU
This 790-nucleotide ribosomal RNA is filed under the name Lecanora formosa. RNAcentral's name for it is "SSU rRNA". It matches the Rfam family "Bacterial small subunit ribosomal RNA", at positions 335 to 1210 of the family's 1533-position model. The record is from RNAcentral. Lineage: Eukaryota; Fungi; Ascomycota; Lecanoromycetes; Lecanorales; Lecanoraceae.